This 87-nucleotide transfer RNA is filed under the name Candidatus Bathyarchaeota archaeon. RNAcentral's name for it is "tRNA-Leu". It matches the Rfam family "tRNA". From Rfam's summary of the family: Transfer RNA (tRNA) molecules are approximately 80 nucleotides in length. The record is from RNAcentral. Lineage: Archaea; Thermoproteati; Candidatus Bathyarchaeota.
GCCAAGGAGCGGCUAAGCCUGGUUAAAGGCGCGAGGCUCAGGACCUCGUCCCGUAGGGGUUCGUGGGUUCAAAUCCCACCCUCCGCA